Molecule: non-coding RNA, 887 nt
Organism: Myodes glareolus (Bank vole)
Lineage: Eukaryota; Metazoa; Chordata; Mammalia; Rodentia; Cricetidae
Source: RefSeq, a predicted model, not a curated record
AAAAAAAAAAAAAAAAAGCUUUACUCUCUCUCCGUCCUACAGAUGAGUGGAGGUCCAACAGCAUCUGGUAGGCACACACCAUGUGGUAGGCACACACGAGCUCAAGUCUUGGAUACUUGGGCUGGUUCUUCCUGGUAAGGUCCUCUGCUUUUAGUAGUUUUAUGGUGGUAGUCAGCCUGAAGACUGAAGGGGCUGGGGACAGGUAGGAAGUGUUUGUGCCUAUGGAGAUAAGUGACAUUAAGUCUAAACAUUACACAAGAGCACUCAAUUCAUUCCAAUAUUAUCUCUUCCAGAUCUGGAACACAGUGGCCUGUCUGUUUUAAGUCCUGCACACAGAUGGUUGAGAAGUACAGCCUCACUAGGCAGUGAUGGGGCACACCUUUAAUCCCAGUAGAGGCAGGUGAUGCAUUCAGAUAUUUACAAGCAAGAGUGGAGAGAGCUGCCCUUCUCCUCGAUGUCUCUGUUCAUCUGGUUCCUUCUGAAGAUAGCCAAUAUGGACAUAUUUCCUGCAUCUUAUUUUAUUUACAGAUGUACCUUACAGUGAACGUUAGGCAGCAGUGAUGGGGACAAUGAGAGGGCAUGUGUGGCGUGGAGCUGACAUCCUGAGGACCCUAGAGAGCAGUGAACCUGCCCGCCCAGAGACUUCGAUGCUGCGGGAGCCCCGUGGAAAAGUCUUCCUGUUGUUAUUCUUUCUAUGACGUCAUGCCUGAGAUGGGGAGAAUUACAGGCCGAGAAUGCCAAGAUAAUGGUGCAGGUUUCUAGUGCGGGUCGCUGCAGCUUCGGUGGGCAGCUGGGAUUGCUCUGUGACAGCCCAUAGUCUGCUCAACGAGUCUGCAGUCCACAGGAAACACCACUGCUCUUAGUGAGCUAACCUUCCCCACGGCGUC